Molecule: long non-coding RNA, 781 nt
Filed under: Malus domestica (apple)
Lineage: Eukaryota; Viridiplantae; Streptophyta; Magnoliopsida; Rosales; Rosaceae
Description: long non-coding RNA (MDOM_LNC006896)
Source: RNAcentral
UUUGGAUUCUUUUUCCGUCCCCCGUGUGGACUCCUCCAUUUCCUCUGCUUUGCCAGUUGCUGUCCCCUAAUUCUUCUGACUUCCUUGGAUCCCUUUGUCGCUGACCUGCUUUCCUCCAGCUGCAAAGGCAGCUUGCUUUCCUCUAUAUUCUCCUCCCGAUGCUCUCCUUUUAUUUUCAUUUAGUUUCUAGCAGCCCCACAUAGCAGAAAAAAAUAAGUUCUUUGGAUCAUGUUACUCCUACAAACACAAUAUAUCAAAAGUAUCAUAAAUACUUAAAGCUUCCAAAUAAAUUAGACAAGAAAAGAAAUAUAAAAUGAUGAAAUAUAUAGUUUAAAUAUUGGUUUACCAUUUAGCGUCACAAUGGGUUAGCAAAAUUGUAAUUUAAAUUUGCUUUUCACGAAUAAAAUUUCACUUGUUCUAUUUUUAUUUUCUUUGCAUAACAAAUCCUAUAAACACAAAAAUAACGUAAAUAGCUCAAAAAUAUAAGGAACUAACCAAGAAAAGACGAGUGAAUUUAAAGUAAAAAUAUAUAUAAAUAUGAUCCGAUCAAAUACCCCCACACUUAACUUUUGCUAGUCCUCGAGCAAAACAAAGAAAACAAGAACAAGAAGUAAAAAGAAAAACAUUAGCUUCCCCCUAUGUGACCCUCAUAGAAUUUCAUUUAAGAAAACAAAUCAUCAAGAACCAUAGCUAGCACCAAACACGUUAAUCCAAGUUCAUCUUCCUAAUUCAAAUAUUAGCAGUAAUCUUUGAAUCAUCCUUGAAGUGUAGUGUGUGAGAU